RNAcentral lists this non-coding RNA (31 nucleotides) under Meriones unguiculatus (Mongolian gerbil). Its description in RNAcentral is "XIST RNA A repeat (ENSMUGG00000010152.1)". It matches the Rfam family "XIST RNA A repeat". The record is from RNAcentral. Lineage: Eukaryota; Metazoa; Chordata; Mammalia; Rodentia; Muridae.
UUGCCCAUCUGGGCUGUGGAUACCUGCUGUU